This 471-nucleotide ribosomal RNA is filed under the name uncultured bacterium. RNAcentral describes it as "partial 16S ribosomal RNA". It matches the Rfam family "Bacterial small subunit ribosomal RNA", at positions 29 to 506 of the family's 1533-position model. The record is from RNAcentral.
AUGAACGUUGGCGGCGUGGAUUAGGCAUGCAAGUCGAGCGGGUGUAGUAAUACAUCAGCGGCGAAAGGGAGAGUAACGCGUAGUUACGUGCCCCGAGGUCCGGAAUAGCUGCGGGAAACUGCAGGUAAUGCUGGAUAAUAUCUGCUCUGUAAUGGAUCAGAUCAAAGGUGUGAUUCCGCCUUGGGAGCGGACUGCGUUGUACUAGCUAGUUGGUAGGGUAAUGGCCUACCAAGGCGAUGAUGCAUACCGGGCGUGAGAGCGUGGCCCGGCUCACUGGGACUGAGACACUGCCCAGACACCUACGGGUGGCUGCAGUCGAGAAUCUUCGGCAAUGAGCGCAAGCUUGACCGAGCGACGCCGCGUGCGGGAUGAAGGCCUUCGGGUUGUAAACCGCUUUCGGUAGGGAGGAAAUCGCUGGGGGUUCUCCCCCAGUGUUGACCUAUCUUCGGAAGAAGGACGGGCUAAGUUCGU